GACGAACGCUGGCGGCGUGCUUAACACAUGCAAGUCGAACGAUGAACCGGAGCUUGCUCCGGGGAUUAGUGGCGAACGGGUGAGUAACACGUGGGCAACCUGCCCCAGACACCGGGAUAACCUUCCGAAAGGAUGGCUAAUACCGGAUAUGACCACUUCGGGCAUCCGACGGUGGUGGAAAGGAUUCUGGUCUGGGGAUGGGCCCGCGGCCUAUCAGCUUGUUGGUGGGGUAAUGGCCUACCAAGGCGACGACGGGUAGCCGGCCUGAGAGGGCGACCGGCCACACUGGGACUGAGACACGGCCCAGACUCCUACGGGAGGCAGCAGUGGGGAAUAUUGCGCAAUGGGCGAAAGCCUGACGCAGCGACGCCGCGUGAGGGACGAAGGUCUUCGGAUUGUAAACCUCUUUCAGCAGGGACGAAGCGAAAGUGACUGUACCUGCAGAAGAAGCACGGCUAACUACGUGCCAGCAGCCGCGGUAA
RNAcentral lists this ribosomal RNA (482 nucleotides) under uncultured bacterium. RNAcentral describes it as "bacterial SSU rRNA". It matches the Rfam family "Bacterial small subunit ribosomal RNA", at positions 28 to 523 of the family's 1533-position model. The record is from RNAcentral.